Long non-coding RNA from Struthio camelus australis, 1184 nucleotides. The record is from Ensembl. NCBI's taxonomy places the organism in Eukaryota, Metazoa, Chordata, Aves, Struthioniformes, Struthionidae.
CUUGACAGCAAUAUGUGUUCAAAAUGAAACCUCUCCUCACUUUUUGCAAAAUCAGUGGAAAUAGGACUUUUAACUGCUGGGAAACAUUUUUCACCUAGUUCACCUUUGUGACAGCAGAUUAAUUACUGAAGUGGAAAACAGUGCCAUAACUUUGGGAGUCCUUCAGCAAAACCACCAAGCCUACUGAGGGGAGGGUCACCUGCAAGUCUGAAGCCCAUAUCAUUAAAGGUAACCAGUAGUUCGUCAGCAGGAGAGGUGCAGUUCAGGAACCUGGGGCUCUGUUACAGGGCAGAUGGACGUGCUGCUGAUCUCCCCUGUCCUGUGUUUGCCCUGCUCGUCAGAGGAAAGUCCACAACGAAUCCCCCAUGGAGGAAGUUGGAGCAUCAGGGAAGACAGCGCUCCCUCUUCUUCGAAUGGGGAGAGGAUUACUCCAUCACGCUGACAACGGCGGCGAGGGGACGUCUCCUUCACCCGGCCGGAUCCAGCACCGCUGCAGCUUUACCCCUGCCGCGAAGGGUGGGCGACGGCAGCCCCUUUGGAAGAGGCAGUUGUGUUUAUAAAACGCUGCAGUCAAAUGCUAUUUAGGUUCUCCGUGAAGCAAAGCAAUAGAUUAAGGGGAUAAAGAAAAAAAAAAAUCUCUUGAAAGAAAUUCCUGUGUGAUUUUAGUGAGAUUUAACAAGAAGGAAAAUCUGAAAACUCUAGACCAUGAGGCUGAUGCAAGCAGAAAAACAUAGCAGGUGUUAAAUUUCUUAAAGGCAAUAUUUUUAAUUAUUUUAACUCAUAAACUAAUUAGCGGAUUUACAUACAAAUGAUGAGAAAACUCAUUCUGCACUCAGCAACACACAUGCUGUCUUUUUCAUACAUAACAAUGAGGCUAUAUCCUUGAUUCAGUCUUAAUUAGAAACUAGUGCUUCCCUAGUAUUUUGUUUUCUGGACAUAGUGUGCAGAAGGAAGUAUAAUAAUUAAUGGCAUAGUUCUGUGAAAGAGCGAUCAACUUAUACAAAAGGUCCAUGAAGUGAGUCUAAGAAAGGAAAGGAUUAAGGUGUAGGAGACGUCAGCUUACAGUUAUGAAAACACAAGGCAAGUAAAAGCUGGCAUAAGAUGGAGGAUGCCGCUCAACAUAUUCAAACAAAAAGAAAAACUUGCAGAAUAAACCAUUUGGAUUUACAUGCUAUAUAGAUUGG